AGAUUAAAAUAACAGAAGAGGGACAACAAGCGCUGUCAGGAAGAUGUGCCUGAGCAUGUGAAAUGAAGAGCGUGGCUCUGUGGACCUCAAGGUGCUUAUGAAACCCGUAUGUCUUCAGAAGAGACUUCUGUCUUGGGCGUGUUAUCUCAAGUGCUCCACAGAGAUCGCGGAAAGCUCUGCAGCAAAUUCUUCUCCGUCUCAGAAGUGAGUGCCAGGACCUGGCGCAGGCUGAGGGACAUUUACAGCCUGCUGGGUCAUACAGAGAAGAGCCACAGCACUUGGCCGGGGAACGGCCCCUCUCUCAGGGCUCGUUUCAAGCCCAAUGCCCCUUGAAGGAUAUCGUCCCUCUGGCCACUUUCUUCCACUCUGAAAGACCACGCGCCAGAAGCUGCUUGUCUGUGGCGGAUCUGCCAACCAGCUGCGGAGCACGGGGACUCGCAGAGCAAGAGAAAGGCUCCAGCAAUGCACUGCAAAAGGAUGGGACGACCUCCUCUACGAGAGACGGUGCUCAGGGAGCCAAGUGCGUGACUCCUGCACUCUGCGUGGGGUGGCAGGGGUCUCGCCUGCUCCACGCCUCCAGCUGAAUGCUGCUGCUGCUGCAAAAGGGGAAAGGCUCAGGAGCCCGUCUCCAGCUCACACAAGCAUCCCGGGUUGCUCUCUGUGGCUGAGAUGGGGAAAAGGGCUUGGGUUUGUUGCUCGGAGCAGUCGUGCCGCGGCACAUAGCAGUAAGCCUUCUCGACAUGUCUGCACGAAGGACGAACCUGACACUUCUGAGCCCGUAGCUGAGCGCUAAAUGGAAAACAGAGACUAGCGAAGGGGGUUUUUUCCACCUCUGGUUUUGUGGGGGAGAAAACUGUAAAAUUUUGCUCAAAAGCAGUUUUGUGUCUGCAAACAGGAUUUAUUUUUAUGAGAUUUAUUUUUAAUUCCAUCCAGAUGUUUAUUUAUAAAAUAAUUUAGGACUUAUAUCCAAACAGACAUCAAAGAAACCUUCUGGGAGUAGCACUGUCAGUAGCAAAGGGUUUUAAUGAUCCACGAGGCGAGUGAAUGGGUUUGAAGAGUGUCAGAGUGCCUUGGGGGAGAGCAUGCAUGGAUCCAAUUAGGAACCCCUUCUGAGGUCCCUCAGACAUGGCAGGAAAGAUGCCUCCUUUGGGACUGGGAUGCCAACUAGUACACGCAGCGUCAUUUGGGGUAUUGCAGAGCACACACGCUUCCCCGAAAAUGCUACCAGGAAAAUAUCUGUCUUAAAGAGUGCCCCAGAAGCUAGCCAUAAUGACAACACCCUCAGGCCAUUCCCAGCCCUCGGUGGAGGUGGGUGACCCAGGCAGGGCACAUGGGGAGUGGCCGUGCACCCAUUGUGGUUUCCCAGACCUGGGGCAUGUGUCGCUGCCAGAGCCCCCGUGCCAACACGGGGCCAGGGUUGUGUCCUGCUGGGGUGGUCUGGGAGGGGACAGAAGCCCCAGGUGCUCCUAAGGCCACCCUAUAAAUCCGUAAGUCCCUGUCAUGCAGCCUGUAAAUCCCACCUCUCCUUGCAGCAGGUGAU
This is a non-coding RNA of Anas platyrhynchos (mallard), 1540 nucleotides long. NCBI's taxonomy places the organism in Eukaryota, Metazoa, Chordata, Aves, Anseriformes, Anatidae. The record is from RefSeq and is a predicted model, not a curated record.